GAUGAACGCUGGCGGUAUGCUUAACACAUGCAAGUCGAACGAGCUAAUGGGUAACUAUUAGUUAGUGGCGGACGGGUGCGUAACGCGUAAGAACCUACCUUUUGGAGGGGGGAUAACAUCGGGGAAACUGAUGCUAAUACCCCAUAAUGCUGAGGAGUUAAAGCAGCGAAAGCUGGCCAAAAGAGGGGCUUGCGUCUGAUUAGCUAGUUGGUGGGGGGUAAAAGCCUCCCAAGGCCACGAUCAGUAGCUGGUUUGAGAGGAUGAUCAGCCACACUGGGACUGAGACACGGCCCAGACUCCUACGGGAGGCAG
This 312-nucleotide ribosomal RNA is filed under the name uncultured cyanobacterium. RNAcentral describes it as "bacterial SSU rRNA". It matches the Rfam family "Bacterial small subunit ribosomal RNA", at positions 28 to 351 of the family's 1533-position model. The record is from RNAcentral. Lineage: Bacteria; Bacillati; Cyanobacteriota.